GUGAGGAAUAUUGGACAAUGGGCGCAAGCCUGAUCCAGCCAUGCCGAGUGCAGGAAGACGCAUCUAUGGUGUGUAAACUGCUUUUGUACGGGAAGAAACACUCCCUCGUGAGGGAGCUUGACGGUACCGUAAGAAUAAGGAUCGGCUAACUCCGUGCCAGCAGCCGCGGUAAUACGGAGGAUCCAAGCGUUAUCCGGAAUCAUUGGGUUUAAAGGGUCCGUAGGCGGUUUAAUAAGUCAGUGGUGAAAGCCCAUCGCUCAACGAUGGAACGGCCAUUGAUACUGUUAGACUUGAAUUACAAGGAAGUAACUAGAAUAUGUAGUGUAGCGGUGAAAUGCUUAGAUAUUACAUGGAAUACCAAUUGCGAAGGCAGGUUACUACUUGUGGAUUGACGCUGAUGGACGAAAGCGUGGGGAGCGAACAGGAUUAGAAACCCUUGUAGUCC
RNAcentral lists this ribosomal RNA (445 nucleotides) under uncultured bacterium. Its description in RNAcentral is "partial 16S ribosomal RNA". It matches the Rfam family "Bacterial small subunit ribosomal RNA", at positions 354 to 796 of the family's 1533-position model. The record is from RNAcentral.